Long non-coding RNA from Bombina bombina (fire-bellied toad), 631 nucleotides. RefSeq lists it as uncharacterized. The record is from RefSeq and is a predicted model, not a curated record. NCBI's taxonomy places the organism in Eukaryota, Metazoa, Chordata, Amphibia, Anura, Bombinatoridae. The transcript has 3 exons.
AUCAUCUUCCAGAUUUGCCAGUUCCUAUACUAUUCUAUGGAGUAGAUUAACUAUAUUUUACUUAUCACUUCAAUCUUUAUUACAUUGCCUGCAUAAAAUAGAAACUGUUGAGACUGGUAAGACAAUGAAGCAAGAACUGGCAAGGCCAAUGAAAAUGGAGAAUCUAAAGAGAAGCUUUGUGAUCCUGUAAAAAUAUGUAUUCCUUUAUGGGAUAAUUGUUUACUCAGAGAAGCAUGACUAACUUCUGCACCUCCUAUGUGUUACACUAGAUUUUUGUCACCUUGUUUAGAAGAAACCUGGGACCCCCACAGCCUUACUCAGGAACACCUAAUCUUUGACUUGGAAUAUACAAAAUCCAGCUGGAAGCACUAGGGCGUGCCAAUAAAUAAUGCAGACUCCACCUCCUUACCACUUUGCCCUGCCCACAAGCAGCCCAGACUCUGAGCCAUUCUGUCCACACUGUCCACACACCUUAUACAGCCACAUCCUUUUAAUAAAUAAAAAGUGCUUUUUUAAAAAAUUAUAUAAUUACCACUUUGCCCUGCCCACAAGCAGCCCAGACUCUGAGCCAUUCUGUCCACACACCUUAUACAGCCAUAUCCUUUUUAUAAAUAAAGAGUGCAUUUUUAAA